GCACACAAUGAAAUCAAGAUGUGCGUGUGUAUGGAAUAUGGUGGAUAGGUGCAUAUAUAGUAUUUAGUGGCUAAUCCUAUUUCUACUUUUGCUCUUUGAAAAUUACUUCCUGCUUUAAAACUUAGAACUUUUGACGAGAAACCAUGCGCUAUCUUUAUUAUUAUUUUUUAUUAUUGUGGGAUGCGGGCAUCGAUGUACCCAUUGUUUUAAUUGCUGGGACACUUGUCCAUCUUUUACUCCCCUUUUUUUCUCUUUUCUUUUUUAAAUACUUUUGCGUAGCUGUUGACGGUGCUUAAGUAUCAAAUUUAGUUAUCAAAUAAACAAAGAAAAGGAUCCAAAUGAAAUCAAUAUCCAGACUUAGGGUUUUAUCUGACAGAAUUCCACGAGUUUUGGUGUUUGUCUAUUUCUGCAGGGAGUUAUCAGGAAAUACGGAAGAAAGGCCAACACGUCGGGAUUACAUAGAGAUAUCAACGUGCCCCGCAAUUAUCUUACAUCUAGAAGACUCCAGAAGC
Molecule: long non-coding RNA, 512 nt
Filed under: Sorghum bicolor (sorghum)
Lineage: Eukaryota; Viridiplantae; Streptophyta; Magnoliopsida; Poales; Poaceae
Description: long non-coding RNA (SBIC_LNC008804)
Source: RNAcentral